AUGUACUUGUCUCGUGGGUGGGAGAAGUUCUACCAUGCCUAUGACCUGCGGCUGGGGUACUUCCUUCUCUUCAAGUACGACGACGAUGCCACCAUGCUCAUCAUGAAGGUUUUCAACACGACUAUGUGUCGCAUGCGCUACGCUGACGAUGAUGAUGCCGGUAAUGAGAGCAGCAGCAGCAACCCUGGUUACAUCCAAAGCAGCAGCGACUAUGGCUGUAGCGAAAGCAGUAGCGAUUCUGGCUGUAGCGAAAGCAGCAACGAUUUUGGCAGCAACAUAGACAACAAGAAGGAUGAUCCGGACUGGAGUGCGGGAGAAGAGGAGUAG
This 327-nucleotide ribosomal RNA is filed under the name Triticum aestivum (bread wheat). Its description in RNAcentral is "partial small subunit ribosomal RNA". The record is from RNAcentral. Lineage: Eukaryota; Viridiplantae; Streptophyta; Magnoliopsida; Poales; Poaceae.